UAGAAAACAUUGCUCUAUUUCUACUAGGUGAAAACCUAUGCCUCAGGUACCAAAGAAAAGAAAGAGCAGCUGGGCCCCCUAGAUCUCAGAGCCCCCCAAAAAGCUGUGAGCCAGGGUCUUUGUUCAUUAUCACAAGUUCUAGGUGUUUCUUGUUUCUUUCCUUUUGUUCUGGCUAACUUUUAUUGAAUAUUUGCCAUGAUGAGAUAGAGUGCUGCAUGCUUUAUCUGUUAUUUAUCUUAUAAUCCUUGCUGUAUUUGUUAGCACAAGGCCUCCUGCUGAAACAAAUCACAACAUUUCAGUGGUUCGACCCCAUAGAGGCUUAUUUCUUGUUCACAUGACCCUCUGGUGCCAAGCCCUGAUCUCAGAGUGGCUUUCUCUCCCUGGAUGGUCUGCCACCCAGGCUUUGUCCCUGGCGCUGCUCCACCAUCCCCUAGAAACCCAGAUGACCCCAGACUUCUCUGCAUGCAUCCUGUUGGUUGGGGAAAAGCAAGUAGAGGAGGUUUACCUGCUCCUCAAAAAUCCCAGCCAGAAGCAGCAUGGAUCAUUUCUGCUCACAUUUUAUUGUCCCAAAUGUGGCCAUACCUGAGCACAGGGGGAGCUAGGGAAUGCAGUGCCUGGCUGGGCAGUUUCCUCCCAGUAACAAUUCAUAUUUUGCAAGUUUUGGGGGAGCGUGAGUUUUUGGUGGACAUUUGCUGUCUUGUCCCAUCUCCUAAGUGACUCUAUUUGGUAAGAGUAUCUCUAUCUAUUGAAGAGCAAAUCAAGACUCAGAACAUUCUGAUGAUGUGACCUGAUUAGUAAGUGGCAUAAUCAGAAUUCCUGCACAGGCCUAUAUGAACUCUUUUUGACUGCAGAUCUCAUGUUUGUAACCAGGGCCUCAUGCUAGCACUUGUCCUGAUCUUCUUCAGGAUACCUGAUAGGGUCAGCCAUGCCCCCAAACCACAGGCUGUCAGUCUGCACACCCUGUCCUGGGAGGCAGCCCAGCAGCAGUUCCUUGCUGUUUUUUCUUUCCUGCCUUCUCUCCUUUUAUUCAACACCCAGGCCCUGUUGCUGUUGCCAAGACCAGUGAUCCAGAUGUUUUCUUACCUCCCAUCUAUCUCCCUUAGUCAACAGCAUUGAUUCACAAUGGUCCGGUUUCUCCAACCUGUUCCAAAAAUGUUCACGGACAUGUAGCUCCAAACAUCAGUCAUUUUUUAAUUCUUCCCUGUCCCCCAUUCAUCCAUUUAUCCACAUGCUGACAUUUAUACUAUGCUUACUCUGUGCCGGGCACUGUACAAUAUACUUGGUAGGAAUAUGACCCAGGACUUGGCCUUAAUGACAUCAUGUUGCCAAUUUCAGAAACCAGUAGUGCUAGCAUUUAUCCUCCUCUCCCUGUUUCCAUAAUUUAGUGUUCCAGAUCAUGCCCUUAUCCCUCCUACAACACUCAGUAAUUUCCUUGAUGGCCUGCUACCAUGUCUAUCUUUAGUUUAAUUUCUUCCAUAUAUUGUUGCCAAGUUAGUCUUUGUAAAGCAGAGUCCUGAUGACAUCAAUUUCUAGCUCUAAAUCUCUGGCUCCCUAUUGAUUGUAGAAUAAGGUCUAAACUCUCUAGUGUGACAUACAAAACUUUCAUGAUCUGGUUCCACUCUAUCUUUCUAGUUUUAUAUCUCAUUUCUCUCUUUCAUGCUUCCUAUCUUGACUGUGAAUUGCUUAUGAAUCUCUACAUACACUCCUUCUUUACCUCUCACCUGCAUAUGUAUGCCACACAUAUCCUGUUCUUUCUCACCUCAAAAUCUUUGAUCCAGCAUCAUUUCUAGCAUGAAUGAAUCUGUUCAUGUUCAAUAAAUAUGUGGUAAAUGAAUGGCUAGGUUCUAGCCCAGAAUACUCUUCCUGCUCCUUCUUAUGUCUUUGUACCCUUUUCAUGGCAAUAAUUCACCAUACAUUAUAUUUAUUUAAUGUAUACAUUUUCUCUCUCUUACUAGAUGGUGCUCAGGGCUGUAUGUGAUUUGCCGUUAUCUAUUGCACACCAAACCAUCCUUUACCUGCUCAGCAGUUGAACACGAUGUCCAAUAUAUAAUGGCCCAGUAUUUUUCCAAGUGGAGAUGACAUACAAGGUGUAAUCGAUCCUUUCUGCACCCAUGCAGACAGCACUAACUGAUCACAGCACACCUCAAUGAGCUGGGUCUUCUAUGUGGAAUUCUGCUCGGGAGUGCCAGGGCAGCCACCAAUGAUCAGUGAAACUCCUGUGGCUGGAUAAAGCCAGGGCAAUUCUUUGGAUGUCAAUCAUUUUGAAGGGCGACUUUCUUGCAUGACUUGCCUGCCUGCUGUGUUCAUCAGACUGCCCAGUGGAACAGAAGUACCCAAUUUCUGGAUAAGAACAAGAGGAAACUGCAAAACUGGGGCACACUAAAAGUCAUCUUUGCUCAAGAAAAUUCAGGAAGAACUGUGAACAUUUAAUAACUUCAGUAUCCAACCGCUCAUAGUAAGUGCUUGCUUAAUGCAUAGACAAGACAGGGAGAUUCAGAGAGCAGGCAACUCAAGGCAUUUCCAUUUUAUUUAAAAAACUGUUUGAUCUCUGUUGAAAUUUAGGAUUCUGCUUUUGACUUUGCUAGAUAAAGUUGGAGUAGAAAUGAAUUAUUCAUAUGAAAUAUUGCCUCAAUAACACUGCAUCAAAUAAACAUAAUGAAAAGCUGCCCAUGUUAUAUAAGGGAAGCUAAGUCACAACUCUUUUGAAUUGCAAAGUUAAGCACUUGGGGCUAGACUCUUCUCCAACAUUAUUCUAUGGAAGAAUCCACUUAGGAGGAUGUAAUGCUCAGAUCCUUUUUAUUUCCGGUCAGACAUGCAUUUGUGGUUUAUGAGUUUAAACUACAGUUGUAACCAUGAUGUUAUUAAAUCUCACAGUCCUCAUCCUGAUUCCAUCCAAGUCAUUGGAGGCCAGAGAGAAAUUUCUGUGACAGUGUAUCCAAUACCAUUGCAGAAUUUCAAGUGAACCAUAGAAACACGGUAACCAGUAUUCUUUCCCCACCCAUGAAUCGUGCACAUAAGGAUGUUUUCAACAACACCAACACAUACACAUAUCCGUGGCUUUGAGGCACCAGGAAAGGCCAUGUGAGCUCACAGGGAGAAGGUGGCUGCAUACAAGGCAGGACAUGAGCCCUCAUCGGGCACUGAAUCUGUAGGCACCUUGCACUUGGACUUCCCGGCCUCCAGAAUGGAAAGCAGUGGGAAAUUUGACACACACAAUGAAGAUGGUGAUAUAAAGAUGGAACAGAGAAAGAUUUCAAGAUUAGAGUGGCUUUGAAGAUUAUAGUGAUGUGUCCAUAAGCCAAGGAAUGUUGGCAGCUAUCAGAAGUUACAAGAGGCAAGGAAUGAAUUCUCCCCUAGAGCUUCUGGAGGAAGUAUGGCCUAUAUGACACUUUGAUUUUGGUCCAAUGAUACUGACUUUGGACUUCUGACCUCCCAAACUGUGAAAGAAUAAGCUUCUUCUGUUUUAAACCAUUAAGAAUAUGGUAAUUUGUUAUAGUAGCAAUAGGAAACUAAUACAAUAAGGCACUCUUAUAAUAUCCAAACAUGAGGGCCCACUAGCCAGGCAAAUGAGCCUAUACACUGCUAAAAAAUUCUAUUUUUGCAAAUGGUUUUUAGGCUGCUUGGAAUAUAGUCCAACUAUCUGUUUCAGUUCAGCAUUUGUAAACAAAGAAAUUUUAACAAAAGGAAAAGAAGCCUACUGAUGGACCAAAAGGAAAAUGUAGAUGUGGCACUCAUUAGCUCAUCCCUUUCUUUUAUUUCUGGCCUAUAACCACCCAUUCUUACAACCUGGAGAUUCUUUCUCAGGAAGAAAGUAGAUGGCACUGGAUGUGAUACAAUAACUCUUUUUGAAUCAGGAUUUGGCUAGUGAUGGGUUCCCAUUUUCACUUGCUUGCCACAUUCCUAUAAUGGAAGCCUUGAGUAGUUAGCUUGCAUCUUAAAGUAUCAGGUGAGUCCAGUAAGAUACACACCAUAGCACUCUUGUUCCUGCCUGGCACUCUGACCUUUGAUCUUUGGCCCCCAGUGAAUAAAAUCAGCCAUAAGUUUUUUUUUUUAAUUACUUAUUUAUUAAUU
Molecule: non-coding RNA, 4071 nt
Organism: Microcebus murinus (gray mouse lemur)
Lineage: Eukaryota; Metazoa; Chordata; Mammalia; Primates; Cheirogaleidae
Source: RefSeq, a predicted model, not a curated record